AGAAAGACGCGGAGGGCAGGUCCUCCAGAGCAAAAGCCCCUCCCCGCCUCCCCAGACUUUUCCUGCAAAAAAAGGGGGCGCUUCUGUCUCUCCCUGCCAAUGCUGCCCCGGCGGCGCCUGCUGGGAUCCGAGACAGGAUCUGUUUGCAGAAAUGGGUCUGGAUUCCUUUAAGACUGAAAGGACUCUGUUGGACACCUUAGAGAAGCCACUGGGUGACCAGAUGAUGCCAGCAAGACCUCCUCUUCCAUCUAUUCCUGGUGGUGAAGGAGAAGCAACGGCUGUGGAAGCAGCUCAGGGUCCAGUGUGCUUUGAAAAUGUCGCUGUUCAUUUCACAGA
Podarcis muralis (Common wall lizard) is the source of this 336-nucleotide non-coding RNA. Lineage: Eukaryota; Metazoa; Chordata; Lepidosauria; Squamata; Lacertidae. The record is from RefSeq and is a predicted model, not a curated record.